RNAcentral lists this ribosomal RNA (800 nucleotides) under uncultured Verrucomicrobiota bacterium. RNAcentral's name for it is "bacterial SSU rRNA". It matches the Rfam family "Bacterial small subunit ribosomal RNA", at positions 71 to 861 of the family's 1533-position model. Lineage: Bacteria; Pseudomonadati; Verrucomicrobiota. The record is from RNAcentral.
UCUGGUUAGCAAUAAUUGGAAUAGUUUAGUGGCGGAAGGGUGCGUAACACGUGGGAAUCUACCAAGAUGUGGGGGAUAGCUCGCCGAAAGGCGAAUUAAUACCGCAUGUGACCGAAAGGUUAAAGUGGGGGAUCGUAAGACCUCACGCAUUUUGAGGAGCCCGCGGCCUAUCAGCUUGUUGGUGAGGUAAAAGCUUACCAAGGCUAUGACGGGUAGCUGGUCUGAGAGGACGACCAGCCACACUGGAACUGAGACACGGUUCAGACACCUACGGGUGGCAGCAGUCGAGAAUUUUUCACAAUGGGGGAAACCCUGAUGGAGCGACGCCGCGUGGAGGAUGAAGGUCUUCGGAUCGUAAACUCCUGUCACUACAGAACAAGGAUAGUGUAGUUAAUACCUGCAUUGUUUGAUGGUAUGUGGAGAGGAAGGAACGGCUAACUCUGUGCCAGCAGCCGCGGUGAUACAGAGGUUCCAAGCGUUGUUCGGAUUUACUGGGCGUAAAGGGUGCGUAGGGGGUUGAGAAAGUCGGAUGUGAAAGCCUGCAGCUUAACUGCGGAACUGCAUUCGAUACUACUUGGCUUGAGGACUGGAGGGGAGAGCGGAAUUCUUGGUGUAGCGGUGAAAUGCGUAGAUAUCAAGAGGAACGCCGGUGGCGAAAGCGGCUCUCUAGACAGUUCCUGACCCUGAGGCACGAAGGCUAGGGUAGCAAACGGGAUUAGAUACCCCGGUAGUCCUAGCAGUAAACGGUGUUCAUUAUGUGUUGGCGGAUUCGACCCCGUCGGUGCCGAACUUAACAGAUU